AGUUAAUGAACUUGAACAAGUAUAUAUUUUGAAAAUAUAAUAUAGAAAUUAAUAAUUUUCUAUUAACUU
This 69-nucleotide transfer RNA is filed under the name Allobaccha apicalis. RNAcentral describes it as "tRNA-Ser". Lineage: Eukaryota; Metazoa; Arthropoda; Insecta; Diptera; Syrphidae. The record is from RNAcentral.